This 443-nucleotide ribosomal RNA is filed under the name uncultured bacterium. RNAcentral describes it as "partial 16S ribosomal RNA". It matches the Rfam family "Bacterial small subunit ribosomal RNA", at positions 338 to 795 of the family's 1533-position model. The record is from RNAcentral.
CCUACGGGAGGCAGCAGUGGGGAAUAUUGGACAAUGGGGGGAACCCUGAUCCAGCGACGCCGCGUGAGUGAAGAAGGUUUUCGGUAUGUAAAGCUCUAUCAGUAGGGAAGAAAGAAAUGACGGUACAUGAUUAAGAAGCCCCGGCUAACUACGUGCCAGCAGCCGCGGGAAUACGUAGGGGGCAAGCGUUAUCCGGAUUUACUGGGUGUAAAGGGUGCGUAGACGGCGAUGCAAGUCUGAAGUGAAAGGCGGGGGCCCAACCCCCGGACUGCUUUUGAAACUGUAUGGCUGGAGUGCAGGAGAGGUAAGUGGAAUGCGUAGGGUAGCGGUGAAAUGCGUAGAUAUUAGGAGGAACACCAGUGGCGAAGGCGGCUUACUGGCCUGUAACUGACGUUGAGGCUCGAAAGCGUGGGGAGCAAACAGGAUUAGAUACCCUGGUAGUC